RNAcentral lists this small RNA (102 nucleotides) under Marmota monax (woodchuck). The record is from RNAcentral. Lineage: Eukaryota; Metazoa; Chordata; Mammalia; Rodentia; Sciuridae.
GCUGGGCAUGGUGAUGCAUGCCUUUAAUCCCAGCUACUGGGAGGCUGAGCAGAAUGAUCACAAGUUCAAGGUCAACCUGGACAAUUUAGUGAGACCCUGCCU